RNAcentral lists this transfer RNA (71 nucleotides) under Hoplopleura edentula. RNAcentral describes it as "tRNA-Ser". It matches the Rfam family "tRNA". Rfam says of the family: Transfer RNA (tRNA) molecules are approximately 80 nucleotides in length. Their secondary structure includes four short double-helical elements and three loops (D, anti-codon, and T loops). The record is from RNAcentral. Lineage: Eukaryota; Metazoa; Arthropoda; Insecta; Psocodea; Hoplopleuridae.
AACUGGCUAGUCUAAUUAGUUGGACAUUUAUUUUGAAAAUAAAAGGUAAUAGGUCAUUCUAUUGCUAGUUU